GGAAAAGGGGGAAAAGCGUCUCUUUUCUAGCACAGCCGCCUCCUUACACGUUGCAGUCACCGUGCGCAGAGGUGCUGAUUUAAUCAUGUGAAAAGCGUCUCCUAAAUUCAGCGACAGCUCCGGUGUGAAGGAGGUUGGUUGAAUAUGCUCCCUAUGAUAUAUAUGAGAUUGGCAUAGGAAACAUUUAUUGGAAUCAUGAACAUGACACUCCUUGUCCAGCAUCUUUUUAAUACUCCAAGUUGAUAUCUUCUCUGAAUAGUUCCUCUGCUCAGCCUUCAUUGAUGGACAUCAAAGACUUCAUACAGCACCUCUAUUGCAGAGACCAUGCAGUGUUGCAUCUGAAAUGAAAUGCUCAGGAAGAUGAAUGAACAGCCCUUGCAAUAAGUAGAUACAGAGACUUCUCCGAGAGGCUGCCGCUGGCAUAACCUCUUUUGGGAAAAGUCUUUCGUUUAAAGGACAUCCCUGCAAAUCAAGAAAUGAGAGUUUUGUUGUCAGCUGUGCCAGACACCAAAGAAAAAGUCAUUUUGUCCAGACACUUGAAGACUUACUUGAAGCAGGACUGUUGCACGGCCAGGCCUGAAGCAAUUCGAUCAGAAUACAGAUGUUUGCCAUUCCAGCAUCACUGCAGGAGCUGUCACCCAGAAGGAAAUGGAAAAUGCAAUAGGAGCAAAUUCUGGACGGUAGAGCCAAGAUCGUUAUCCUAAUGACUUCUUUAUUUAUUUAUUUAUGUGUUUCAAAACAAGAAAGUGUGUACAGCCAUUUGGAAAAUGACCUACCUACCUUUCCAACCUACACACAGCAAAAGCAAUUCAAAUGCUGAGGUGUGAGACCACGUCUACAAUGCAGCUACACAGCACUCGUGCGUUUCCAACACAACUGGGGAUUUAAUGCCCUGAAGUUAAUAGGUGCUGAGUGGUAGAAAUCCAAGACAUGGCUUAAAUGAGAGUCAUAACUGCCUUAAAUGUAGGCCAGUUAUCCCCUCCCUGUUGCUUGUAAUUGCUAGUCGGCCUUUUUGUUGUUGUGGUUAUGUAGUACACUGGUUCAACAGAGAGACUGGAGAAAAGACUUUGUUUCAGACAUACCUGAAAUUAAUUUUCAGUUGUGUUUUGCUCUCUCGUGUGAGAAAAAGAAAUAAAACCGAUUUGGAUUAAAAUUUGCAUCAAACAUUUAGCUCAACUAAAGAUAAAACGUUUUAAUGGCAGCAGAAGCAGGCCACAUUUAUUUUGAUUUAAGUAACCUUUGUAGCUCGAAACCAAAAUAAAUACAUAAAUAAAUAAAUAACUGGUUUGCCAAUAUGGAGGAAAAAACUGAAGUUCCUCUGGUUUUUCCUCUUUUACUCAGAGAGGGAGAAACUGAAACACUCUGACGUGCGACACAGUUGAACAAACAGAUUCGGCCUUGAGUUUUUCUGUAUUGGUUUGUUUUCCUAGAAUAAAGAGAAUCGGUUGCCCAGCUCUAACCUUGAGACCUGCAGCAGUUGUCUCCUUUACAGGUGUAACAAAGAAGGAAAUGAGGAGCUUAAUAACUCAUUUAUUUUAAUGACAACUGCAUGACCCUGUUUCCAUCUCUGCAACUGUAGCUGGUCUGCUUUUCCAGUGUGUAUGCCCAAUUAUAACUUGCAAGAAGGCAUGUACCUCAUAAAGAAUUUAGUUCGUUUUCAAUAUUUUCCAAAGCUGUGUAAAUGAACAAUGCACUUUUUACAGGUCUUUCAUCAAGGAGUUAAUAACCAGAUGAAGGUUCUCUUUUCAUCAGUUCGUAAGUGAUGCUCCAUUUGAUUGAAGAAGAUCAAAAAUGACGAUCAGAAAAUAACAAGGAAGUUUUAAAGGUGGCCUUUAUACAACACUUCAACCGUCUCAUUCCUGUUAUUUCAGAGUUAUCACUGGGUUUCUUUUCAGGUUUGGAAAAAAAAUGUAUGAAAUUCUGAAGAAUUGCCAGUACUUGCCUUUUUUUUAAAUUUGAGAAACCUAUUUGUUAAUUGUGGUCAACAUGCCUCUUCCAGACUGUGCCACAGUGUUAUGUGAAAGCAACAGCAGCAAGGCUAUUAGAUUCUGACAUGUAUGACAGUAUCCAUGGCAUUCAUCUUGCAUCCCAGCCUGUAUCAGCAUUCACGGCAGUUCCAAGUGACCCUGUUCUGCCCUGAUUUGACAUGACCUGCUCCCCAUCCCUCAGUGGGCUCAGGUAUCACAGGAGCUCUGCAGUCUGGGGAGAGGGAGAGAAGAUAGCCCUUAUUCAGGAUCCUCUCUACCUAUAACCACAGUGCCACUGUUCGCAGUGACCAGUGCAUUUGUCAUCCUCUUACAUUUGGUUUUACAGGAAAUUUCCAUUUUCUUUAAUUGUCUCUUGGAAGUCCUCUGUAUAAAUUUUCUAUCCCAGCUCAUUUAGUCUUUUCUAUUUGACUUUAUUGCUUCUGAGUAGGAGUAGGUAAAUUCUCUGCAAAGAGGUGAGAUGCUUCUUCCUUAAACCAGCUCAAACAUGUAAGAGUCUUUCUUGUCCCUACUGUCCCUCCUCUCUCUCCUGCAAUCCAGUCACCUCGUGUGCAGUUGUCUCUCUCUCUCCUCUCUCUCCAUCUGACCUUUUCUGCUGACCCUUCCCUUACUGCAGCAGCAGCAACAACAAAAAACUCAACACACUUAAUCUCAUUGCCUUGUUGCCAAAAGAAGCCUUGUCUCUGCAGUUUCCGGCAGUAGUUAAAUACUUGUUCCUUGGCAGCAUUUUGCUUUGGGUUUGGUCAUUAAUGCACUAGUGCUAAUAAUGAGUGUUUGAUACAAGCUGUCAUCACUCGUGGUGAUGCUAGACUAGGAGUUUUGUGACUAGCAAAGCUCCCCAAAAACCUUUUUCCUGACCUAAUGAACCCUUCUGAGAUCAUCAGAUGUAAGGCCAAAUUCAACUCCCUGAUACUGAAAUGGGAUUGGCUGUGAAGAAAAACUGUCCUAAGGGUAAGGUGGGGAGUGACUGCUUGCUAGGGAACUGCAGAACAGCUUGAAGGACUUGAGAUUCUGCGUAGAACCUCUGGUUAUUCACUAAGUGAAGUGCUGAGCAGGUUGCUCGGUGCUUUGUCUGGUUGGAUUUUGUCCUUGGCUGUCUGCAAGGACACAGAUGCCACCACCUUCCCAGUGUUGCUCUUUGUCCUUUCCUGGGACACCCUGACAAGGGUGGUUUCUUUUUCUGCAGAGCUGUGUCUGGUACUGGAUCUGGAAAUAUGAACCUGUCUUCUCGAUGUUCUUGACCUGGCCUGCAGCCUGCAGUUGGAAUUCCCAAAGCCAGGCAUGGCAGAGGAUGUCACCAUCUUCAGGUGAAGGUCUUUUGGAGGAUUGGCCCUGCAGUGGAGAAAAGAACAUGGUCAGCUUCAAGAAGCCUAUGUUCUACCUCUGAAGCAGAACUAUUAAGUGUGAGGCUAGCUUGAGAUUUCAGCUACUAAGGAAGGAAACUGAAGAGGAAGGGAAGAUGCAGUCAGCUCCUUGGCUGGAAACCAGCAGGGUUACAUUAAGGCAAUAAACUCAAACCCACACUUUUGUAAGGUCAGCAAGGAAAUGGGGAGAAGCUGCAGCCACUCACGUCUCAGCUACUGAACAGAGACAGUUGUGGGGGUCUGAAAUAGCAUUGGCAUAACAACAGAGCAAUCAGAAUAAGAACACCAGAGGGACACAGUGGUACCCUCUAGUAGUGACAAUGUUACUCCCAUCCCUUGCUGUUGUGUAUUUCAUCCAAUUACCCCAACUAUGUUUUCUUUAAUAUUAUAAGGGCUGUAGCCCUGGCUCUCUGUUGCAAAGAGAGAAACUGAGGCACAAUAAGGUAAAGAUAUCAUCCUAAACUAUUCCAUCUUGCAAUUUGAACUGUUCCCCUAAGAAUGAGCUCACACACAUUUAUUUAUGGUUUCAGUCUAGGAGUGAUGUGGGUUUCUGGUACUUGAUAUUUCAUAGCUUCUAAUUACCCUGUAUAGUGAAGCCUGCAGAGAAUCAGAAAAUGUUACAUUUAAUUUUGGAUCAAAUUUAAUGAAGCACUGGUCUUUUGGAGAAGCACUGUAUUUUCAGGCAAUCUCGGAGAACUCAACAAAAGGCACAUUUUAUUGCAGGUGCUUUGCACAACCUUCAUCGGGAUUAAAUUUGAUGGAAAAUGGGAUAUCUGAAUAUGGAUUCAUACCACUAUACUUCUUAGGAAAUUCUUGAUCCCACAGUUCUGAAGCUCAGUUAUCUUUAGAUCUAAUUUUUAAAAUCAGUUAUCUUUUCAGCAGGAUGUAUAAAUAAAUCAGCAGAAG
This is a long non-coding RNA of Tympanuchus pallidicinctus (lesser prairie-chicken), 4255 nucleotides long. RefSeq lists it as uncharacterized. The record is from RefSeq and is a predicted model, not a curated record. The transcript has 5 exons. NCBI's taxonomy places the organism in Eukaryota, Metazoa, Chordata, Aves, Galliformes, Phasianidae.